GGGCGGUUAGCUCAGCUGGGAGAGCACCUGCCUUACAAGCAGGGGGUCGGCGGUUCGAUCCCGUCACCGCCCA
This 73-nucleotide transfer RNA is filed under the name Actinomycetes bacterium. Its description in RNAcentral is "Actinobacteria bacterium tRNA-Val". It matches the Rfam family "tRNA". From Rfam's summary of the family: Transfer RNA (tRNA) molecules are approximately 80 nucleotides in length. Their secondary structure includes four short double-helical elements and three loops (D, anti-codon, and T loops). Further hydrogen bonds mediate the characteristic L-shaped molecular structure. tRNAs have two regions of fundamental functional importance: the anti-codon, which is responsible for specific mRNA codon recognition, and the 3' end, to which the tRNAs corresponding amino acid is attached (by aminoacyl-tRNA synthetases). tRNAs cope with the degeneracy of the genetic code in two manners: having more than one tRNA (with a specific anti-codon) for a particular amino acid; and 'wobble' base-pairing, i.e. permitting non-standard base-pairing at the 3rd anti-codon position. RNAcentral also lists the same sequence under 5 other names. Lineage: Bacteria; Bacillati; Actinomycetota; Actinomycetes. The record is from RNAcentral.